CGCCAUGCCAGAGCUGGGUGUGAGUCAGCUGGACCUAGCCAGGCUUAACGGUCCAACCCUCUGCUCUAAAGCAGUGUGUUAUUGUUUCACUCCCUCCCUGUCACUUACUCACUGGCUGCUUUUACAGAAGUAUGCACUUCCACACUCCAUGUCAUGGAUUUAAAAGCAUAGGAUUGGUGUAAGCAUUGCCUGGAGGGAGGUUUGAAGAAUUGGUGUAAGCAUUGCCUGGAGGGAGGUUUGAAUAAUUGGUGUAAGCAUUACCUGGAGGGAGGUUUGAAUAAUUGGUGUAAGCAUUGGCUGGAGGGAGGUUUGAAUAAUUGGUGUAAGCAUUGCCUGGAGGGAGGUUUGAAGAAUUGGUGUAAGCAUUGGCUGGAGGGAGGUUUGAAGAAUUGGUGUAAGCAUUGCCUGGAGGGAGGUUUGAAUAAUUGGUGUAAGCAUUGGCUGGAGGGAGGUUUGAAGAAUUGGUGUAAGCAUUGGCUGGAGGGAGGUUUGAAUAAUUGGUGUAAGCAUUGCCUGGAGGGAGGUUUGAAGAAUUGGUGUAAGCAUUGCCUGGAGGGAGGUUUGAAGGAUUGGUGUAAGCAUUGCCUGGAGGGAGGUUCGAAUAAUUGGUGUAAGCAUUAGCUGGAGGGAGGUUUGAAUAAUUGGUGUAAGCAUUGGCUGGAGGGAGGUUUGAAGAAUUGGUGUAAGCAUUGGCUGGAGGGAGGUUUGAAGAAUUGGUGUAAGCAUUGGCUGGAGGGAGGUCUGAAGAAUUGGUGUAAGCAUUGGCUGGAGGGAGUUUCCGCAGUUGUUAAAUCCAUACUUUGGGAGAAGGCUGGAGAAUCACGACACAACCAACCUCUAUUGCUCCCUCUUCUUUCUCCCACUCCUCUCUCUCACCCUCUGGUGCUCCCCCUCCCUACAGUAUGGAAGUCCACCUUUUUCUCUUUAGAAUGGGAAUUAUUUGAUAAGAUUCAGAGAGACCGCAGGGGGUAGGGUGAUGGGGAAUGAAGAGCUUGAUCCCAUGAUUCCUCUGGCAGAUAUUACCAUCUGCCCAAAGUGCCCUGAGCUCACAGAGCGUGUGUCCCAAAUAGCACCCUGUUCCAUAUAUGGUGCUCUACAGGUCUACAGGCCCUGGUCAAAAGUAGUGCACUACCAUAGGGAAAAGGCAUUUGAGAUGCAGACUCGGCCUGAGCUCACAGAGACACAAACCACUAAGCUACAUUUACCUACUAAGCUUUAUCACUCCUCCUCCUAUCUGUCCCCUGCCCCGACCCCUCUC
This is a long non-coding RNA of Oncorhynchus keta (chum salmon), 1258 nucleotides long. RefSeq lists it as uncharacterized. The transcript is spliced from 3 exons. The record is from RefSeq and is a predicted model, not a curated record. NCBI's taxonomy places the organism in Eukaryota, Metazoa, Chordata, Actinopteri, Salmoniformes, Salmonidae.